UACGUAGGAGGCAAGCGUUGUCCGGAUUUACUGGGCGUAAAGCGCGCGCAGGCGGCAGUGCAAGUAAGGUGUGAAAUCUCCCUGCUCAACGGGGAGGGUGCAUUUUAGACUGCACAGCUAGAGGUCGGUAGAGGGGGGUGGAAUUGCUGGUGUAGCGGUGAAAUGCGUAGAUAUCAAGAGGAACACCUGAGGUGAAGACGGGUUGCUGGGCUGACACUGACGCUGAGGCGCGAAAGCCAGGGGAGCAAACGGG
This 253-nucleotide ribosomal RNA is filed under the name uncultured bacterium. RNAcentral's name for it is "partial 16S ribosomal RNA". It matches the Rfam family "Bacterial small subunit ribosomal RNA", at positions 524 to 776 of the family's 1533-position model. The record is from RNAcentral.